AAAUACAAUAUGGAUGUAUAAUUUUUUUUGUUUCAUUAUAUACCAAAUUAUAUAAUGGAGGUUUUUGUACAUACACCAUAAGCCAAAAGUUCAUGUGAAUUCAAAAUAUCGACAAAAACAGUUUACUUUUGUCUAUAUAUAUGUUAAUAUAUUUGUAUUUAACUAUUAGGAUACCAGUAAUAUAAUUUAAAGGGAACAUGUCCAGAUCAAGACAUUAUGGUAUGACGGAAGCAAAGGAGAUGCACAAAAGUGCAAUUGACGAAACAUAGACUGUUCGGAGGAGAUGUCAAGUGAAUGAACCAUCAGUGGUUUUAUUUUCAGUGUGUUGAAGGCAAUAUAUACCAAGAUUAGAGGUUGCUGCUGGAUCCUCGGCCGCAGGGGAUCCCAGGACGGAGCGUGGCGAGGUUUGACCCACAGCUCGCGAGUGAGGGCCUGGCGGCUUCGGGCGGAGGAGGCAGCAACGACUGUGUCAGGCCUCCCCUGCUCACCGAUACGUUGGGCCCAUGCGCGAGGCAACUCUGCGGGGUGGGGCCCCCUCCGGCGAGCCCCCCACCGCUUCUCCAUGGCCCCCUUCUGGCCAUCUGUGAUUCCGUGGUGGCGCCAUGAGAGGAUACCGUGGGUGAAAAUGUGAAAUGAUGGUGCAUAUGUGACGCGGUGGGCUGGGUCCUCCACCUCAGCCCAUGGACCCGUCCCAAGGUGAUUAGGAGAGUCUUAUGAUCAACCAAUCACUGAGGCAGAUGCGUACAAGGUGGAUCAACGCUUGCUGAUUGCCUUGAUGUUUGAUGCAUUUGUGCAUCGUGUUUUUAA
This is a long non-coding RNA of Triticum aestivum (bread wheat), 807 nucleotides long. RefSeq lists it as uncharacterized. The transcript has 3 exons. The record is from RefSeq and is a predicted model, not a curated record. NCBI's taxonomy places the organism in Eukaryota, Viridiplantae, Streptophyta, Magnoliopsida, Poales, Poaceae.